Molecule: RNA transcript, 2434 nt
Organism: Haliaeetus leucocephalus (bald eagle)
Lineage: Eukaryota; Metazoa; Chordata; Aves; Accipitriformes; Accipitridae
Gene: ANKRD16
Gene name: ankyrin repeat domain 16
Exons: 11
Source: RefSeq, a predicted model, not a curated record
GACGUCACGCAGCCCCAGCAGAGCGCGGGUGGGUUUUAACCGCCGCGGAACGCCCUGCGAAGGGACCCGCCACGACGUGGGCUGAGGAGAGGGAAACGUGAUCUCUAGCCAUGGCGGAGGGGGAGAGGCCGAGGCCGCUCCUCCGGCUGGUGCAGGAAGGACGGCUGGACCUCCUCCGGGAUGAGCUGCGGCCGGACGAUGCGCUGGUCCCAGCAGUGCGGAGCCAGCGCUAUGGGCGCUCGGGGGACACGCUGCUGCACCACGCUGCCCGAUACGGGCACCGGGACGUCCUCGCCUACCUGGUAGAGGUGCUGGGGAUGGACAUUGAGGCGUUUAAUAGCGACUACAAAAGACCCCUCCACGAAGCGGCCUCCAUGGGCCAUGGGGAGUGUGUCUCCUACCUCCUGGAGAGAGGCGCAAGCGUAGACUGCUUGAAAAAGGCAGACUGGACUCCCCUAAUGAUGGCUUGCACCAGGCAAAACCUGGAGGUGAUCAAAGCUCUUGUGGAGCAUGGAGCCAACCCACUGCUGAAGAAUAAGGAUGGCUGGAAUUGCUUCCACAUCGCGAGCCGUGAGGGCCAUCCCCAGGUCCUCCGGUACCUGCUGGACAUGUCCCCGAGCAGCUGGGACACAGAGAGCACAAUUAAGAGAACGCCUCUGCACACAGCAGCAAUGCACGGCUGUUUUGACAUUGUGGAGCUGCUCCUGGAGCGGUGCCAGUACAAACCUGACAGCAGAGACAAAUGUGGAGUCACUCCCUUUAUGGAUGCUAUCCAGAACGGGCACGUCAACAUUGCCCGGCUGCUCCUGGAAAAACACCAGGCCUGUCCUUCAGCCGUGGAUGUGCUGGGCGCUCAACCUCUGCACCGGGCAGCCGUCACGGCCCAGGAUGAAGCCAUCCAGUUCCUCGUCUCCAAGCUGGGUGUUGAUGUCAACGAGAGAGCAACGGCCCUCCAACUCACAGCACUGCACUACGCAGCCAAGGAAGGACACGCACACACCAUCCAGACACUGCUGUCCCUUGGCGCUGAUGUCCAUGCAAAGGAUGGGAAGAGCCGUUCUGCCCUGCACGCAGCGUGCGCUGGGCAGCAGGCGGACGCCGCGCGGAUCCUGCUCCGUGCUGGGCUGCAAGAUGCCCCGGAUAGCACGGGCACGCUGGCGCGGCAGCUUGCGAGGAAGCCAGAUGUCAUCCAGGUUUUCCAGGAUACAAAUGUCAGCGCGUGAGACCAACUGGGAAAAAAGAGAAACACGUUUCAUUUCAACGUGCACCCGGCACGUCCAAACAGCUGAGGCUGCAGCUCCUUGAAGUAUAACUAUCCAGGGAAGGUGCCCCAUGGGCUGGAUGACCUCUGGGGACCUGCAUGGCUUGAACCCCUUGGAGCCUGCCUAGCCCUUGCUGGUGAUGUUUCCAUACAGUGGACAUCCUGAAGGAGAAGAUACACCUGGAGCGUUCAUUUUUAUAGCCCUUAAUGGACCUGCUCUCCACUAAUCUCUGAAGUUCCUUCAAGUGGCCACUUCUUUCUAUAGCCCCUGAGAGAGGCUGCGUGCGGUGCAGUGUAAGUGAACCCUGGGUGACUCUUCCUUCAUCAGGUUUGAGCUGCAGAGGACAAGUGCAGGGAGUCUUCAAGCUGCAUCAACCUCUUACGUCCUUUUUGUGGCCCAAGGCUGCUGCCAAAGCCUGCUGAAAUCAGUAGUAAGACCUCAACCUUGCGACGACGUCAAGGGUCUUUGGAUCAGACUAAAAAAAGAGGUAUUUGUUAUUCCAGACAGCCUUGCAUGGCACUUCUCGCCACUGAUGAACUUUAAAAAAAAAAAAUGUGCUCUUUGAAGUGUAUAGGGAAAUGGCUUAAUAUUUAAUGUAGCCAGUAAGCCUCUAACAGCCUGGAAUACACAUAAAGGCAAUAAAAAGACGCACGGAAACAAACUGGCUGUUGUUAAUGCAGAUGAUCAGGUACAAAAGGACGUUAGAGAAGGAACAUGGAUUCAGCUUUAUGCCUGCAAAAUUAGCCAGGGGAAGAGACCUUGCUGUCUUUCUUGCUGUUUUUGCUGUUUCUUACUCACUGCAAGACGUCUCACAUGGAGAAACGGUGCGGGCGCCUGGUCCCCGGGGAGGAAGCCCAGGAGCUGGGCUCCGUGCCACGUGGCGCUGAAGGCAGUUUGGAGCGGAGCCCGGGAGCCGGCACACGGCUUCGGCACUGUCCUGUUAUGCCACCUCUUCCACCCUUGGCACCGGUGCUUGCCGGGGGCCCUGCAAAUGCUCCUGGUCCUGCAGCCGCAGAGAAGACCUUGUGCCUUCGUCCUGUAGGAUGUGGCUGAGAUACAGUCACGGUAAGUAGAAGCGUCUGGGUAGGUAGGAAAUAAUGUUGCAAAUGCUGUCAGGGUUUGCUGGGAAACCUUACAGGAAGGGAAGGCAUUUUGUUUUUAAAUAAAACUGA